UUGUAUAUUGGGAUCCUACACAGAAUUUGGAACCCAAAUUUCUGGAUUCCCAGACGUGUGCUUGACCCACCAGGUCUCCAAAUUUCUGUGCCAUGUGGGAAGCGCCCAACUUUCUUUUAGGGAUGAGAUCCACUGGCUGUAAACUCAUCUGCGAAUCCUAUCACACAGGCCCAGCUGCGGCUUUAGGGAUGGCCUGUGACCUAAAAUGCCAUAGUAAAAAACAUAAUGGUGACCGGAGAUGGAGGGGUUGCAUCAUGUGGUAACAAAAGAAUGAAUCCACCCAGAGGAAGCAGAGCCAAGAAAUUGAUCCCUGUUGUUGGCGUCCUGGAUCAAAUCAUGUGAGCCAAUAAAUUAUCUUUAUUGCUUAA
This is a long non-coding RNA of Suricata suricatta (meerkat), 368 nucleotides long. RefSeq lists it as uncharacterized. Lineage: Eukaryota; Metazoa; Chordata; Mammalia; Carnivora; Herpestidae. The record is from RefSeq and is a predicted model, not a curated record. The transcript is spliced from 3 exons.